GNAUUUAUUGGGCGUAAAGGGAGCGCNGGCGGUCAGGAAAGUCUGGAGUAAAAGGCUAUGGCUCAACCAUAGUGUGCUCUGGAAACUGUCUGACUUGAGUGCAGAAGGGGAGAGUGGAAUUCCAUGUGUAGCGGUGAAAUGCGUAGAUAUAUGGAGGAACACCAGUGGCGAAAGCGGCUCUCUGGUCUGUCACUGACGCUGAGGCUCAAAAGCGUGGGUAGCGAACAGGAUUAGAUACCCUGGUAGUCCACGCCGUAAACGAUGAGUGCUAGGUGUUAGGCCCUUUCCGGGGCUUAGUGCCGGAGCUAACGCAAUAAGCACUCCGCCUGGGGAGUACGACCGCAAGGUUGAAACUCAAAGGAAUUGACGGGGGCCCGCACAAGCGGUGGAGCAUGUGGUUUAAUUCGAAGCAACGCGAAGAACCUUACCAGGUCUUGACAUCCCGAUGCUAUUCUUAGAGAUAGGAAGUUACUUCGGUACAUCGGAGACAGGUGGUGCAUGGUUGUCGUCAGCUCGUGUCGUGAGAUGUUGGGUUAAGUCCCGCAACGAGCGCAACCCUUAUUGUUAGUUGCCAUCAUUAAGUUGGGCACUCUAGCGAGACUGCCGGUAAUAAACCGGAGGAAGGUGGGGAUGACGUCAAAUCAUCAUGCCCCUUAUGACCUGGGCUACACACGUGCUACAAUGGUCGGUACAACGAGUUGCGAGCCGGUGACGGCAAGCUAAUCUCUGAAAGCCGAUCUCAGUUCGGAUUGGAGGCUGCAACUCGCCUCCAUGAAGUCGGAAUCGCUAGUAAUCGCGGAUCAGCACGCCGCGGUGAAUACGUUCCCGGGCCUUGUACACACCGCCCGUCACACCACGAGAGUUUGUAACACCCGAAGUCGGUGAGGUANCCUUUUAGGG
Molecule: ribosomal RNA, 900 nt
Filed under: uncultured bacterium
Lineage: Bacteria
Description: bacterial SSU rRNA
Rfam family: Bacterial small subunit ribosomal RNA
Source: RNAcentral